This 65-nucleotide transfer RNA is filed under the name Ixodes scapularis (black-legged tick). It matches the Rfam family "tRNA". From Rfam's summary of the family: Transfer RNA (tRNA) molecules are approximately 80 nucleotides in length. Their secondary structure includes four short double-helical elements and three loops (D, anti-codon, and T loops). The record is from Rfam by way of RNAcentral. Lineage: Eukaryota; Metazoa; Arthropoda; Arachnida; Ixodida; Ixodidae.
GGUUAGCUCAGUUGGUAGAGCGCUCCAUCGGAAAUAGAGGGGUUCCUGGUUCGAUUCCAGGGCCA